AAAAGCCUUAAUCCAAGAAAAAUCUCUAGUUGCUUCUGACGAGAACUAUCUACAACAGCAUUCUUAUAUCUUCUCUGAAGAGUAAUUUUCAUAUUCUGUGCAGCAGAGAACUGUUUAAACUUGCCUGCUUCUUCAUUAAAUAUGCUAAGAAUUUGGCUGUGCAUAGCUUUGGAGCCAGUAUACAAUGUUGCAUGGAUGUCACCAGCAAGCAAAAAUAAAUCUGCUAAUUGUGAGACAGGUGAUAAGAUUGUCGAUCUCUUGAAGUCAUCGAAUGUCAUAUCAAAUCUCUUCCAGGGUUUAUCUGGACAGGGAUGAUUCCAAGUAGUU
RNAcentral lists this unclassified non-coding RNA (327 nucleotides) under Hevea brasiliensis (rubber tree). Lineage: Eukaryota; Viridiplantae; Streptophyta; Magnoliopsida; Malpighiales; Euphorbiaceae. The record is from RNAcentral.